This 2901-nucleotide ribosomal RNA is filed under the name Shigella boydii. RNAcentral's name for it is "bacterial LSU rRNA". It matches the Rfam family "Bacterial large subunit ribosomal RNA". RNAcentral also lists the same sequence under 1 other name. The record is from RNAcentral. Lineage: Bacteria; Pseudomonadati; Pseudomonadota; Gammaproteobacteria; Enterobacterales; Enterobacteriaceae.
UUAAGCGACUAAGCGUACACGGUGGAUGCCCUGGCAGUCAGAGGCGAUGAAGGACGUGCUAAUCUGCGAUAAGCGUCGGUAAGGUGAUAUGAACCGUUAUAACCGGCGAUUUCCGAAUGGGGAAACCCAGUGUGUUUCGACACACUAUCAUUAACUGAAUCCAUAGGUUAAUGAGGCGAACCGGGGGAACUGAAACAUCUAAGUACCCCGAGGAAAAGAAAUCAACCGAGAUUCCCCCAGUAGCGGCGAGCGAACGGGGAGCAGCCCAGAGCCUGAAUCAGUGUGUGUGUUAGUGGAAGCGUCUGGAAAGGCGCGCGAUACAGGGUGACAGCCCCGUACACAAAAAUGCACAUGCUGUGAGCUCGAUGAGUAGGGCGGGACACGUGGUAUCCUGUCUGAAUAUGGGGGGACCAUCCUCCAAGGCUAAAUACUCCUGACUGACCGAUAGUGAACCAGUACCGUGAGGGAAAGGCGAAAAGAACCCCGGCGAGGGGAGUGAAAAAGAACCUGAAACCGUGUACGUACAAGCAGUGGGAGCCUCUUUAUGGGGUGACUGCGUACCUUUUGUAUAAUGGGUCAGCGACUUAUAUUCUGUAGCAAGGUUAACCGAAUAGGGGAGCCGAAGGGAAACCGAGUCUUAACUGGGCGUUAAGUUGCAGGGUAUAGACCCGAAACCCGGUGAUCUAGCCAUGGGCAGGUUGAAGGUUGGGUAACACUAACUGGAGGACCGAACCGACUAAUGUUGAAAAAUUAGCGGAUGACUUGUGGCUGGGGGUGAAAGGCCAAUCAAACCGGGAGAUAGCUGGUUCUCCCCGAAAGCUAUUUAGGUAGCGCCUCGUGAAUUCAUCUCCGGGGGUAGAGCACUGUUUCGGCAAGGGGGUCAUCCCGACUUACCAACCCGAUGCAAACUGCGAAUACCGGAGAAUGUUAUCACGGGAGACACACGGCGGGUGCUAACGUCCGUCGUGAAGAGGGAAACAACCCAGACCGCCAGCUAAGGUCCCAAAGUCAUGGUUAAGUGGGAAACGAUGUGGGAAGGCCCAGACAGCCAGGAUGUUGGCUUAGAAGCAGCCAUCAUUUAAAGAAAGCGUAAUAGCUCACUGGUCGAGUCGGCCUGCGCGGAAGAUGUAACGGGGCUAAACCAUGCACCGAAGCUGCGGCAGCGACGCUUAUGCGUUGUUGGGUAGGGGAGCGUUCUGUAAGCCUGUGAAGGUGUGCUGUGAGGCAUGCUGGAGGUAUCAGAAGUGCGAAUGCUGACAUAAGUAACGAUAAAGCGGGUGAAAAGCCCGCUCGCCGGAAGACCAAGGGUUCCUGUCCAACGUUAAUCGGGGCAGGGUGAGUCGACCCCUAAGGCGAGGCCGAAAGGCGUAGUCGAUGGGAAACAGGUUAAUAUUCCUGUACUUGGUGUUACUGCGAAGGGGGGACGGAGAAGGCUAUGUUGGCCGGGCGACGGUUGUCCCGGUUUAAGCGUGUAGGCUGAUUUUCCAGGCAAAUCCGGAAAAUCAAGGCUGAGGCGUGAUGACGAGGCACUACGGUGCUGAAGCAACAAAUGCCCUGCUUCCAGGAAAAGCCUCUAAGCAUCAGGUAACAUCAAAUCGUACCCCAAACCGACACAGGUGGUCAGGUAGAGAAUACCAAGGCGCUUGAGAGAACUCGGGUGAAGGAACUAGGCAAAAUGGUGCCGUAACUUCGGGAGAAGGCACGCUGAUAUGUAGGUGAAGUCCCUCGCGGAUGGAGCUGAAAUCAGUCGAAGAUACCAGCUGGCUGCAACUGUUUAUUAAAAACACAGCACUGUGCAAACACGAAAGUGGACGUAUACGGUGUGACGCCUGCCCGGUGCCGGAAGGUUAAUUGAUGGGGUCAGCGCAAGCGAAGCUCUUGAUCGAAGCCCCGGUAAACGGCGGCCGUAACUAUAACGGUCCUAAGGUAGCGAAAUUCCUUGUCGGGUAAGUUCCGACCUGCACGAAUGGCGUAAUGAUGGCCAGGCUGUCUCCACCCGAGACUCAGUGAAAUUGAACUCGCUGUGAAGAUGCAGUGUACCCGCGGCAAGACGGAAAGACCCCGUGAACCUUUACUAUAGCUUGACACUGAACAUUGAGCCUUGAUGUGUAGGAUAGGUGGGAGGCUUUGAAGUGUGGACGCCAGUCUGCAUGGAGCCGGCCUUGAAAUACCACCCUUUAAUGUUUGAUGUUCUAACGUGGACCCGUAAUCCGGGUUGCGGACAGUGUCUGGUGGGUAGUUUGACUGGGGCGGUCUCCUCCUAAAGAGUAACGGAGGAGCACGAAGGUUGGCUAAUCCUGGUCGGACAUCAGGAGGUUAGUGCAAUGGCAUAAGCCAGCUUGACUGCGAGCGUGACGGCGCGAGCAGGUGCGAAAGCAGGUCAUAGUGAUCCGGUGGUUCUGAAUGGAAGGGCCAUCGCUCAACGGAUAAAAGGUACUCCGGGGAUAACAGGCUGAUACCGCCCAAGAGUUCAUAUCGACGGCGGUGUUUGGCACCUCGAUGUCGGCUCAUCACAUCCUGGGGCUGAAGUAGGUCCCAAGGGUAUGGCUGUUCGCCAUUUAAAGUGGUACGCGAGCUGGGUUUAGAACGUCGUGAGACAGUUCGGUCCCUAUCUGCCGUGGGCGCUGGAGAACUGAGGGGGGCUGCUCCUAGUACGAGAGGACCGGAGUGGACGCAUCACUGGUGUUCGGGUUGUCAUGCCAAUGGCACUGCCCGGUAGCUAAAUGCGGAAGAGAUAAGUGCUGAAAGCAUCUAAGCACGAAACUUGCCCCGAGAUGAGUUCUCCCUGACCCUUUAAGGGUCCUGAAGGAACGUUGAAGACGACGACGUUGAUAGGCCGGGUGUGUAAGCGCAGCGAUGCGUUGAGCUAACCGGUACUAAUGAACCGUGAGGCUUAACCUU